Neofelis nebulosa (Clouded leopard) is the source of this 2655-nucleotide RNA transcript. It is a transcript of the gene named uridine monophosphate synthetase, with no coding region annotated. NCBI's taxonomy places the organism in Eukaryota, Metazoa, Chordata, Mammalia, Carnivora, Felidae. The record is from RefSeq and is a predicted model, not a curated record. The transcript is spliced from 7 exons.
GGCGGGGCUUUCUCGGGUGACGGUAUCGGGGCGCUGCAGGCCUGGCGCGCUUUGGAGUUUAGAACAGGAUCGGGAGCGCGUGGCCAUGGCAGCCCAAGAUGCGGAUUUGGAGUCGUUGGUAACGGGUUUGUACGACGUGCAGGCUUUUAAAUUUGGGAACUUCGUACUGAAGAGCGGGCUCUCUUCCCCCGUUUACAUCGAUCUGCGCGGCAUCGUGUCUCGACCACGUCUUCUCAGUCAGGUUGCAGAAAUUUUAUUCCAAACUGCCCAAAAUGCGGGAAUCAAUUUUGACACUGUGUGUGGAGUACCUUAUACAGCUUUACCAUUGGCUACAGUUAUCUGUUCAACCAACCAAAUUCCAAUGCUUAUUAGAAGGAAAGAAUCAAAGGAUUAUGGUACUAAGCGUCUUGUAGAAGGGGCGGUUAAUCCAGGAGAAACCUGUUUGAUCAUUGAAGAUGUCGUUACCAGUGGAUCUAGUGUUCUGGAAACUGUUGAGGUUCUUCAGAAGGAGGGUUUGAAGGUCACUGAUGCCAUAGUGCUGCUGGACAGAGAGCAAGGAGGCAAAGACAAGUUGCAGGCACAUGGGAUCCAUCUUCACUCAGUGUGUACAUUGUCCAAAAUGCUGGAGAUUCUCGAGCGACAGAAAAAAAUUGAUGCUGAGAUGGUCGAGAGAGUGAAGAGAUUUAUUCAGGAGAAUGUUUUUGUAGCAGCUAGUCAUAAUGGUUCUCUCCGUUCUGUAAACAAAGCUCCCGCUCCUGGAGAACUCAGCUUUGGUGCACGUGCAGAGCUGCCCAGGGUCCACCCAGUUGCAGCGAAGCUUCUCAGGCUUAUGCAAAAGAAAGAGACUAAUCUGUGUCUGUCUGCAGAUAUUUCAGAGUCUAGAGAGCUGUUGCAGCUAGCUGAUGCUUUAGGACCCAGCAUCUGCAUGCUGAAGACUCAUGUAGAUAUUUUGAAUGAUUUUACUCUGGAUGUGAUGAAGGAGUUAACAACUCUGGCAAAACGCCACGCGUUCUUAAUAUUUGAAGACCGGAAGUUUGCAGAUAUAGGAAAUACAGUAAAAAAACAGUAUGAAGGUGGUAUCUUUAAAAUAGCUUCUUGGGCAGAUCUGGUCAAUGCUCACGUGGUGCCUGGUUCGGGGGUCGUGAGAGGCCUGAGAGAAGUAGGCCUGCCUUUGCACCGGGGGUGCCUGCUCAUUGCAGAAAUGAGCUCUGCUGGCUCCUUGGCUACAGGCAACUACACGACAGCAGCGGUUAAAAUGGCUGAAGAGCAUUCUGAGUUUGUGGUUGGUUUUAUCUCUGGCUCCCGAGUAAGCAUGAAACCAGAAUUUCUUCACUUGACUCCAGGAGUUCAGUUAGAAGCAGGAGGCUAAAAACUCCUUGAGGAUGAGAACUCUUUCUGAAGAUUGCAUAUCCUCCAGCACAAUGCUCCUGUGCUUCAUAAAUGGUCUGUAAAUACUCGUAUAAAUGUUGAAGGAGUGAACAAUACGCUGUAUAAGAACAGUUGAAAGGGUUGGUGUGACUGAGACGAUAAUAUGAGAACGUGAUGAUUGAAGGUAUGAGUUUGGUAAACCUUGGUUUUCUUUUUAAACCCUGACAUACUAGGACUAGUGGAUUCCCGUUAGGUCCUUCAAGGUUAAUUAUUUUAUAUAAUACAACCAUACUUAAGGAAGGUGCCACCUUUUGGGGGUUUGGUGGUUUGUUUUUAAUUGUGUACUUUAAGCAGAAAACAUUAUAGAAAGUUAAUCAGGAAGAAACUCAUAGGCUAAUGAAAAUUCAGGUAAGUGAAUGAAUGGCGGCUGAAUCCGUGGGGUUAACAAGUAUUGGGGGUUUUACAGAUUGUAUUUGCCACAGAGCAGGCUGCAGCAGAAUGACUCACCCAAGUUUGCGACAGCUGCCUUAGUGGUGGACAACUUUGACAUUUUAAUUUUGCACUAAAUGUUUUGAGUCAGAUUUGGAUUUCUGGCCCUUCCAUUUAGCAGCCAUGUAUGUUUGGACAAGUCACUUCACUUCUUCUGGUCUCAUUGUCAAGUGUAAAAUGGGAAUAAUAACAGCGUUGACCUCUUACAGUUGAGAGGCUUACAUGAGAUAGUGAUGUAUAGAAUGCACUUCACCCAGUGCUAUGCUUGUCAACUGUUAAUGUUCAUUAUAAGCCGCCCUAAUUCUUUGACUAAAAAGGAUCUAGGCUUUUAGGAACAUUUAAAGCAUCUUGGAUUUGAAAGAUAAGCCAUUUAGCAGAAGAGUUCAAGAACAACAAAAUUUAAAAAGAAAAAUGUGGGACUCUGGUUCAAGAUGGUGAUGUAGGGAGAUCCUGAACUCCCCUCCUCCCACUAACACACGGAGUCUACAGCUGUGCAUGGAACACUUUCUCUGAAAAAAAUCCUAAUGUCUGGCUGAGCAAGAACUGUGUAUGUGGCAAAUGAGAAGAAAACCACAUCGAAGUGGGUAGGAGAUGCUGGGACUCAGUCUCACCAUAAAGCAAACUUAGGAGGGAAGUCAAAACUUGGAGCAUCUCCCUGAGGAGUGAAGGAGUUGAAUUGCACAUCAGGGGAUAAUCUUGGCCAACAGUAUAAUAGCCCACAAGAAGUUAUUGGCAAACGAGGAUCUGAUAUCAUCAUUGUAGGCCGGGGCAUAAUAAUGUCAUCAAAUCGUCUGGAAG